Molecule: ribosomal RNA, 497 nt
Filed under: uncultured bacterium
Lineage: Bacteria
Description: partial 16S ribosomal RNA
Rfam family: Bacterial small subunit ribosomal RNA
Source: RNAcentral
GAUGAACGCUGGCGGCGUGCCUAAUACAUGCAAGUCGAGCGAACAGACGAGGAGCUUGCUCCUCUGACGUUAGCGGCGGACGGGUGAGUAACACGUGGAUAACCUACCUAUAAGACUGGGAUAACUUCGGGAAACCGGAGCUAAUACCGGAUAAUAUAUUGAACCGCAUGGUUCAAUAGUGAAAGACGGUUUUGCUGUCACUUAUAGAUGGAUCCGCGCCGCAUUAGCUAGUUGGUAAGGUAACGGCUUACCAAGGCAACGAUGCGUAGCCGACCUGAGAGGGUGAUCGGCCACACGGGAACUGAGACAGGGUCCGGACUCGUACGGGAGGCAGCGGUAGGGAAUCUUCCGCAAUGGGCGAAAGCCUGACGGAGCAACGCCGCGUGAGUGAUGAAGGUCUUCGGAUCGUAAAACUCUGUUAUUAGGGAAGAACAAAUGUGUAAGUAACUAUGCACGUCUUGACGGUACCUAAUCAGAAAGCCACGGCUAACUACGUG